Long non-coding RNA from Echinops telfairi (small Madagascar hedgehog), 1258 nucleotides. RefSeq lists it as uncharacterized. The record is from RefSeq and is a predicted model, not a curated record. NCBI's taxonomy places the organism in Eukaryota, Metazoa, Chordata, Mammalia, Afrosoricida, Tenrecidae. The transcript has 4 exons.
UACCAGUGGAUUUUAUGGAAGGGGAUUCCCCUUCCAAACAAUGACUCUCUCUCCAUCCCUCCUCUCCACAUCCGCAUACACAGAUCCAGAUCAUCAACCUCAAGAACUUGCGAGCCACUUUCUGAGAUGUUGUCUUGAAGUGCUCGGACUGCGGGGACAAGCAGAGUGAGUGACCCAGAGCCACAUGCCACACACCUAGAUGCCACCCCCCAGAUGCUUCAGGUUCAACUACUCUCCUGUUUGGCUGCAUGACAGAUGUAAUCAACGUCCCCGAACUGUUGAAUUCGUGACACCGCCUAUCAUGAGUUUAUUAUACAAGAGAGACAUGGAGAUUAUUUGCAUGGUGACAGAUUUCAGAACGUCAGUGGGACGGGCAGCUUCACACGGUGCCAUUUCAAUAGUGGGUUCCUCUAGUCCACAUACUUCCCAAGAAUGCCACCGUCUCGAAAUAAGAAACCACCCUUAUCAUCUGGAACUACGUUGGUGCCCCAUGUCCAGGGAGAAGGGCUUUCUCUCCAGCUCUCACACUCACUGGUUCGAUCUCUCCACCCUCUCCCUUCGAGCCGGACCCAACAGCUACGACUGUUGCCUGCAGGACUUUUCCUUGAGGUCUUUCUGGAAGCAUCAUGCCUCCUUUGGUUACAGUUUCAGCAACACUUCUGUCCACCAGUACUCGGUCAAAGAGGGGAAGAAACUUUCGAAAUGCCUGUCCUGCCAUGAUGCUGAGUGGCCGCAGCCAGUACUCCUCUCACGCUACGCCGCUGCCUUGGUUCCCUUGACGACUUAGCCAAUGUUCUUAAACUGUUUUUGAAAUACUGACUCCAGAGUUGGCAGUGGCUGGUGGUGAGGAGCCAAGAGCUAGCACAUGCCAAGCGCCUAGCACGGAGCCCUAAGGUGCCAAAAGGGAGCAGGGAAUGGUGACUUAUCCUGAGUUGGGCUGCAAAUCACAUGGUCAGAAGUUUGAAACCACCAGUUGUUCCACAGGAGAAAGAUGAGGCUUUCCACUCCUGUAAAGAGCUGCAGUCUCAGAAACCCACAAGGAUGGUUCUCAUCUGUCCCGUGGGGUUUUGCUAUGAGUCACAAUUGACUGCAUGGCAGUGAGUUCGUUCAAUUUGCCUUCCAGAAUUCAGCAGUCCAGAAUUUCCCUGCAACGGUCACCGUGGGAUAGUGCGGUAGUUCCAUAACCUGCUGUCAAUUUGAGACUAUUAGGAGUGAAGGGGUGGAGUCUACCCUGUCAAUCAGGCCGCAGCUUGAUGAU